RNAcentral lists this transfer RNA (88 nucleotides) under Synechococcus sp. CBW1004. RNAcentral describes it as "tRNA-Ser". Lineage: Bacteria; Bacillati; Cyanobacteriota; Cyanophyceae; Synechococcales; Synechococcaceae. The record is from RNAcentral.
CAGAGAGCUUGCUGCUACUGGGUCUACAGGCGGUCUUGAAAACCGGCGAAGGGAAACCUUCCGUGGGUUCGAAUCCCACCCUCUCCGU